This 24-nucleotide non-coding RNA is filed under the name Arabidopsis thaliana (thale cress). The record is from RNAcentral. Lineage: Eukaryota; Viridiplantae; Streptophyta; Magnoliopsida; Brassicales; Brassicaceae.
ACCGUCGACAUCAAUCUCUCUGAA